Molecule: ribosomal RNA, 1333 nt
Filed under: uncultured bacterium
Lineage: Bacteria
Description: bacterial SSU rRNA
Rfam family: Bacterial small subunit ribosomal RNA
Source: RNAcentral
GACGAACGCUGGCGGCGCGCCUAACACAUGCAAGUCGAACGAGCGAGAGAGAGCUUGCUUUCUCGAGCGAGUGGCGAACGGGUGAGUAACGCGUGAGGAACCUGCCUCAAAGAGGGGGACAACAGUUGGAAACGACUGCUAAUACCGCAUAAGCCCACGGCUCGGCAUCGAGCAGAGGGAAAAGGAGCAAUCCGCUUUGAGAUGGCCUCGCGUCCGAUUAGCUAGUUGGUGAGGUAACGGCCCACCAAGGCGACGAUCGGUAGCCGGACUGAGAGGUUGAACGGCCACAUUGGGACUGAGACACGGCCCAGACUCCUACGGGAGGCAGCAGUGGGGAAUAUUGCACAAUGGGGGAAACCCUGAUGCAGCGACGCCGCGUGGAGGAAGAAGGUCUUCGGAUUGUAAACUCCUGUUGUUGGGGAAGAUAAUGACGGUACCCAACAAGGAAGUGACGGCUAACUACGUGCCAGCAGCCGCGGUAAAACGUAGGUCACAAGCGUUGUCCGGAAUUACUGGGUGUAAAGGGAGCGCAGGCGGGAAGACAAGUUGGAAGUGAAAUCUAUGGGCUCAACCCAUAAACUGCUUUCAAAACUGUUUUUCUUGAGUAGUGCAGAGGUAGGCGGAAUUCCCGGUGUAGCGGUGGAAUGCGUAGAUAUCGGGAGGAACACCAGUGGCGAAGGCGGCCUACUGGGCACCAACUGACGCUGAGGCUCGAAAGUGUGGGUAGCAAACAGGAUUAGAUACCCUGGUAGUCCACACCGUAAACGAUGAUUACUAGGUGUUGGAGGAUUGACCCCUUCAGUGCCGCAGUUAACACAAUAAGUAAUCCACCUGGGGAGUACGACCGCAAGGUUGAAACUCAAAGGAAUUGACGGGGGCCCGCACAAGCAGUGGAGUAUGUGGUUUAAUUCGACGCAACGCGAAGAACCUUACCAAGUCUUGACAUCCCUUGACAGGCAUAGAAAUAUGUUUUCUCUUCGGAGCAAGGAGACAGGUGGUGCAUGGUUGUCGUCAGCUCGUGUCGUGAGAUGUUGGGUUAAGUCCCGCAACGAGCGCAACCCUUAUGGUCAGUUACUACGCAAGAGGACUCUGGCCAGACUGCCGUUGACAAAACGGAGGAAGGUGGGGAUGACGUCAAAUCAUCAUGCCCUUUAUGACUUGGGCUACACACGUACUACAAUGGCGUUAAACAAAGAGAAGCAAGACCGCGAGGUGGAGCAAAACUCAGAAACAACGUCCCAGUUCGGACUGCAGGCUGCAACUCGCCUGCACGAAGUCGGAAUUGCUAGUAAUCGUGGAUCAGCAUGCCACGGUGAAUACGUUUCCCGGGCCU